This is a long non-coding RNA of Tachyglossus aculeatus (Australian echidna), 440 nucleotides long. RefSeq lists it as uncharacterized. NCBI's taxonomy places the organism in Eukaryota, Metazoa, Chordata, Mammalia, Monotremata, Tachyglossidae. The transcript has 3 exons. The record is from RefSeq and is a predicted model, not a curated record.
GAACUGGAAGCAGAUGGGUGCGGAGAGUGAGGGAAGUGUAGGUCUAGUGCAUGAGAGCCAGCUGCCGCGCAGGCCCCUCAGCUAUCGGCUCUGUUUGCUGUGACUGUUGAAGUGCAGCCCUAGCCGCCGCGUGCCGGAUUAGGUUAGUGCCGCCUGAUCCUCCCAGGCAGUUUCAUUUUUGCCUCGUCCUGUAACCAGAGCAGGGAAAGAAGGCGGCCCGGAGAUUGCAUAUUCACCUGAAUUUGCUGCUCUGGCCGGAUUCCAACUCGGAUAACAACGCCCGACGGUCUUCUCUCGAGUUUUGCCUCGUUUCCUGCCCCUAACUCUGGAGUCUCUGUUUUGAUGUGUUCCUACCCCGUCCAGGGGUGGCUGCAUUUUGGCAUUGAAAGGAGCGAUGGGAAGAUGCGGUAACUGAGGCCCAGAGAAGUUAAUAGACUUGC